RNAcentral lists this ribosomal RNA (253 nucleotides) under uncultured bacterium. RNAcentral's name for it is "partial 16S ribosomal RNA". It matches the Rfam family "Bacterial small subunit ribosomal RNA", at positions 524 to 776 of the family's 1533-position model. The record is from RNAcentral.
UACAGAGGGGGCAAGCGUUAUUCGGAAUUAUUGGGCGUAAAGGGCGCGUAGGCGGCCUGGCAAGUGACGGGUGAAAGCCCUCGGCUUAACCGAGGAACUGCCUGUCAGACUGUUAGGCUUGAGACCGGGAGAGGUGAGUGGAAUUCCCAGUGUAGCGGUGAAAUGCGUAGAUAUCGGGAGGAACACCAGUGGCGAAGGCGACUACCUGGCCUGUUCUUGACGCUGAGGCGCGAAAGCUAGGGGAGCAAACGGG